Molecule: long non-coding RNA, 326 nt
Filed under: Nicotiana benthamiana
Lineage: Eukaryota; Viridiplantae; Streptophyta; Magnoliopsida; Solanales; Solanaceae
Description: long non-coding RNA (NBEN_LNC011304)
Source: RNAcentral
AUUGGCAUUCUCUGAUCGGCCUAAUCUCGUAAUACAUGGCUAUGUCCCUGACCUGAGACUAAUGCAAUCAGUUCCUUCCUCCGCCUUCUCUUUCGACGUUCGCCAAUCGGAGAGGACAGCCGAUUGAGUCUGAACCUUAAUUUAAAGAUGGAAGGAAGACCCGGAUGGACUUAAUUAGGAGCAUGGGCAACCCUUCGCGCACGAGAUAGCAAUGACAGGAGAUUGACCGGUCGGGGUCGAGUGAUCCUCAGGGUUUAGGGCUCCUUCUCCUGCUGCGACUACCUCUCUUCUCUUCUCUUUUAGAAAGGUAAAGGACCACCAGAGAG